Molecule: long non-coding RNA, 715 nt
Organism: Solanum stenotomum
Lineage: Eukaryota; Viridiplantae; Streptophyta; Magnoliopsida; Solanales; Solanaceae
Exons: 6
Source: RefSeq, a predicted model, not a curated record
CAAACAUUUCCUAACCUCAUUUCCCAUCUAUUCAACUAUCAGAACACAGAAGUUGUCACUGUUCUUCUCUUUAACCUAAUUUUUUAUCCAUUCAUAGCAGAUAGAUUGAACACAGAAGUUGGGGAGAAUUGCAGAAAUCUAGAGGUUUUCUUCUUUAACUGUUGGAGGGUUUCUUCUUCAAUCUUUGAGGUUAUAGCUGAAGAAACUACAAGUUUGGGCUUUUGAGGUUCCUGAAAUGGAUGUUGAAUACUAUCCUUCCAAGGAAGAUGUGAUUUUACAGAAUGAGUCUCAAACAGAUUUUUACAUAAUAGUCUCAGGAGCAUAGGAUCUUCUAGUAGAUAGCGAUGGAUGUGAACAAGUCAUUGGGAAGGUUGUUGCUCGAGAAUCAUUUGGAGAAAUAAGUGUUUUACUUGGAAGGCCACAACCAUAUGCUGUUACAACAACUGAAAUUUCCAAAAUUUUAUGUUUGAGUAGGAAAACAUUUCUGAACAUUCUUCACGACAAUCAAGAAGAUGAACAGAUUUUAAUGAAAAAUCAUUUUCAGGAUUUGGAGGCUUUGAUAAUGUGGACGAGGAAAGCGAUUCAAGUUUAGUCUUCAACAACUGUUCUCAUGUUUCUAAGCAAGAUACGCCAACCAAUCCUAGCGAUCUGAUUAGUAUAAAUAUACAAACAUUAGAAGCUACAACCUAUAAACAAGUUGAAAAUGAAAGUCAAA